GUGCCAGCCGCCGCGGUAAGACGAACCGUGCGAACGUUGUUCGGAAUCACUGGGCUUAAAGGGCGCGUAGGCGGGCCAGCAAGUCCGGGGUGAAAUCUUUCGGCUCAACCGGAAAAGUGCCUUGGAUACUGCUGGUCUCGAGGGAGGCAGGGGUCUGUGGAACUUCUGGUGGAGCGGUGAAAUGCGUUGAUAUCAGAAGGAACGCCGGUGGCGAAAGCGACGGACUGGUCCUCUUCUGACGCUGAGGCGCGAAAGCUAGGGGAGCAAACGGGAUUAGAUACCCUAGUAGUCC
This 292-nucleotide ribosomal RNA is filed under the name uncultured bacterium. Its description in RNAcentral is "partial 16S ribosomal RNA". It matches the Rfam family "Bacterial small subunit ribosomal RNA", at positions 505 to 796 of the family's 1533-position model. The record is from RNAcentral.